GACGAACGCUGGCGGCGUGCCUAACACAUGCAAGUCGAACGGAAAGGCCCUGCUUUUGUGGGGUGCUCGAGUGCCGAACGGGUGAGUAACACGUGAGUAACCUGCCCUUGACUUUGGGAUAUCUUCAGGAAACUGGGGCUCUUACCGGAUAUGAGCUCUUGCUGCAUGGUGGGCGUUGGUAAGUUUCGGCGGUUGGGGAUGGAAUCGCGGCUUAUCAGCUUGUUGGUGGGGUAGUGGCUGACCAAGCCUUUGACGGGUAGCCGGCCUGAGAGGGGGACCGGCCACAUUGGGACUGAGAUACGGCCCAGACUCCUACGGGAGGCAGCAGUGGGGAAUAUUGCACAGUGGGCGGAAGCCUGAUGCAGCAACGCCGCGUGCGGGAUGACGGCCUUCGGGUUGUAAACCGCUUUCGCCUGUGACGAAGCGUGAGUGACGGUAAUGGGUAAAGAAGCACCGGCUAACUACGUG
This 468-nucleotide ribosomal RNA is filed under the name uncultured bacterium. RNAcentral's name for it is "partial 16S ribosomal RNA". It matches the Rfam family "Bacterial small subunit ribosomal RNA", at positions 28 to 507 of the family's 1533-position model. The record is from RNAcentral.